Molecule: ribosomal RNA, 915 nt
Filed under: uncultured organism
Description: bacterial SSU rRNA
Rfam family: Bacterial small subunit ribosomal RNA
Source: RNAcentral
AGCAUUUGCUUUGGGAAAAGCCUGCGGAGUAUCAGCUUGUUGGUAGUGUAAUGGACUACCAAGGCUAUGACGCUUAGGGGAGCUGAGAGGCUGACCCCCACCGAUGGUACUGAGACACGGACCAUACACCUACGGGUGGCCGCAGUCGAGAAUCUUCCGCAAUGGACGAAAGUCUGACGGAGCGACGCCGCGUGAUCGAUGAAGUCUUUAGGGAUGUAAAGAUCUUUUAUCAAGGAGGAAGUUUAUUGACGUUACUUGAUGAAUAAGAGGUUGCUAAACUCGUGCCAGCAGCAGCGGUAAUACGAGUGCCUCAAGCGUUAUCCGGAAUUAUUGGGCGUAAAGGGUGUGUAGGCGGAUUUGUUAGUCUUUUGUUAAAGCUCCCGGCUUAACUGGGAAAAAGCAAAAGAAACGGCAAGUCUAGAGAGUGUGAGGGGUUUGCGGAACUCAUGGUGUAGGGGUGAAAUCCGUUGAUAUCAUGGGGAACACCAAAAGCGAAGGCAGCAAACUGGCACAUUUCUGACGCUGAGACACGAAAGCGUAGGUAGCGAAGGGGAUUAGAUACCCCCGUAGUCUACGCCGUAAACGAUGUUCUCUGGCUUUUUUGGGAAUCGACCCCCAAAGAGGCGAAGCUAACGCGUUAAGAGAACCGCCUGGGUAGUACGGCCGCAAGGCUAAAACUCAAAGGAAUAGACGGGGGCUUGCACAAGCGGUGGAUCAUGUGGCUUAAUUCGUCGAUAAACGAAGAACCUUACCAAGGCUAGAAACUUAUCUGAAAGCUCUAAGAAACUAGAGCCCUCUUCGGACAGAUAAGCAGGUGAUGCAUGGCCGUCGUCAGCUCGUGGCUUGAGCUGUUCCCUUAAGUGGGGUAGCGAGCGCAACCCUCAUCGUGUGUUACAAGUGUCACGCGAGACUGCC